UACGGGGGGGGUAAGCGUUGUUCGGAAUUACUGGGCGUAAAGGGCUCGUAGGCGGCCAACUAAGUCGGACGUGAAAUCCCUCAGCUUAACUGGGGAACUGCGUCCGAUACUGGAUGGCUUGGAUUUGGGAGAGGGAUGCGGAAUUCCAGGUGUAGCGGUGAAAUGCGUGGAGAUGUGGAGGAACACCAGUGGCGAAGGCGACUCUUUGGCCUGUAACUGACGCUGAGGCGCGAAAGCGUGGGGAGCAAACAGG
This 253-nucleotide ribosomal RNA is filed under the name uncultured bacterium. RNAcentral describes it as "partial 16S ribosomal RNA". It matches the Rfam family "Bacterial small subunit ribosomal RNA", at positions 524 to 776 of the family's 1533-position model. The record is from RNAcentral.